AUAUAUGAACAUAUAAAAGUGCAAGCAACUUGUCAUUCUCAAAUCGAAACCGAAACCACAGAAAGUUCCACAAGUUUUAUAUAAAUAUGUAGUUAGUAAGUUUUUAAGAAACGAUUUCACUUUAAUGUGUUUAGAAAUUCGCAUUAGAUUUCAUCGAAGAAGCAUGGCGGACGGCGAAGCGCGUAGGAGUAGAAAAUAAACUUUUUUUAUCUAUGCCGACCAGAAAACUCCAAAAUUAACACAAAGGAUAGCGUUUCAUGGAUGUCUUCGUAUCAUCGUAUCUAUCUUAUGCAAAGUGAAGUAUUGAAAAGUAAUAAGAAAUGUAGGUUUCAAACUUAUUAGUAGUAAGAAAUUGAUGUUAACAUGUCAUCACGAGAUAUUCAUCGAUGGAUAAAUACAUGGCUUCGCUAUAGACUGCUGUAAAAUGCAUUGCAAUGAAGUUCAUCGAUACUUCAACGAACACAGAACAUACGCCAUAUAAUACCCAACGCAUACUAAUUAACAUCAUAUUUACGUUUCAACUUGACGACCUUCAACUUAUGGAUCAAAUAUGGACUCUGGCGCAAAGGAUCAAAAUAGUUUUUAAGUAAUUAUGGCAGACGUUGUGUUGAAUUUGUUACAAAUGCUCCAGUUUGGACUGAUUACAAAUCACUAUCCAAGACACGGGUUCAAUUCUCUUUAAACAAAAUAAAGGCAAAGGCAAAGCUCUGAUCGUAUUUCUGUCGUAAAAAAAUAUCUUAUCCAGUUGAAGGCGAAAGAACCCCAACAGAUCUAUACAUUUGUUAGAAAACAUUAAGAUGUAAUCCAAAUAUAUGAUUAAUACAAAACUACCAUUUAGGGUGCGUUUAAUAAAAAUCUGGUUAAAUGCUAGUUUAGCAUAGAAUUUAACUUAAAUAUAAUAAAUGUAUUCAUUGUGUAGUUGACAACAAGC
Molecule: long non-coding RNA, 931 nt
Organism: Bactrocera oleae (olive fruit fly)
Lineage: Eukaryota; Metazoa; Arthropoda; Insecta; Diptera; Tephritidae
Source: RefSeq, a predicted model, not a curated record